This 253-nucleotide ribosomal RNA is filed under the name uncultured bacterium. Its description in RNAcentral is "partial 16S ribosomal RNA". It matches the Rfam family "Bacterial small subunit ribosomal RNA", at positions 524 to 776 of the family's 1533-position model. The record is from RNAcentral.
UACAGAGGUCUCAAGCGUUGUUCGGAUUCAUUGGGCGUAAAGGGUGCGUAGGCGGCGCGGUAAGUCGGGUGUGAAAUCUCGGAGCUUAACUCCGAAACUGCAUUCGAUACUGCCGUGCUUGAGGACUGGAGAGGAGACUGGAAUUUACGGUGUAGCUGUGAAAUGCGUAGAUAUCGUAAGGAAGACCAGUGGCGAAGGCGGGUCUCUGGACAGUUCCUGACGCUGAGGCACGAAGGCCAGGGGAGCAAACGGG